UACGAAGGGGGCUAGCGUUGCUCGGAAUCACUGGGCGUAAAGGGUGCGUAGGCGGGGCUUUAAGUCAGGGGUGAAAUCCUGGAGCUCAACUCCAGAACUGCCUUUGAUACUGAAGAUCUUGAGUUCGGGAGAGGUGAGUGGAACUGCGAGUGUAGAGGUGAAAUUCGUAGAUAUUGGGAGGAACACCAGUGGCGAAGGCGGCUCACUGGACCGGUUCUGACGCUGAUGCGCGAAAGCGUGGGGAGCAAACAGG
Molecule: ribosomal RNA, 253 nt
Filed under: uncultured bacterium
Lineage: Bacteria
Description: partial 16S ribosomal RNA
Rfam family: Bacterial small subunit ribosomal RNA
Source: RNAcentral